This 510-nucleotide unclassified non-coding RNA is filed under the name uncultured Glomus. Its description in RNAcentral is "SSU rRNA". It matches the Rfam family "Eukaryotic small subunit ribosomal RNA", at positions 569 to 1081 of the family's 1831-position model. The record is from RNAcentral. Lineage: Eukaryota; Fungi; Glomeromycota; Glomeromycetes; Glomerales; Glomeraceae.
AGCAGCCGCGGUAAUUCCAGCUCCAAUAGCGUAUAUUAAAGUUGUUGCAGUUAGAAAGCUCGUAGUUGAAUUUCGGGAUCAAUAUGUUGGUCGUGCCUCGGUACGUACUAGCAUAUUGGUUUCUCCUUUCUGAAGAACCAUGAUGUCAUUUAUUUGGUGUCGUGGGGAAUCAGGACUGUUACUUUGAAAAAAUUAGAGUGUUUAAAGCAGGCUCACGCUUGAAUACAUUAGCAUGGAAUAAUGAAAUAGGACGUUUGAUUCUAUUUUGUUGGUUUCUAGGAUCGACGUAAUGAUUAAUAGGGAUAGUUGGGGGCAUUAGUAUUCAAUUGUCAGAGGUGAAAUUCUUGGAUUUAUUGAAGACUAACUACUGCGAAAGCAUUUGCCAAGGAUGCUUUCAUUAAUCAAGAACGAAAGUUAGGGGAUCGAAGACGAUCAGAUACCGUCGUAGUCUUAACCAUAAACUAUGCCGACUAGGGAUCGGAUGAUGUUAAUUUUUUGAAUGACUCAUUC